GACGAACGCUGGCGGCGUGCCUAAUACAUGCCAGUUGAGCGCUGAAGGUUGGUACUUGUACCAACUGGAUGAGCAGCAAACGGGUGAGUAACGCGUGGGGAAUCUGCCUUUGAGCGGGGGACAACAUUUGGAAACGAAUGCUAAUACCGCAUAAAAACUUUAAACACAAGUUUUAAGUUUGAAAGAUGCAAUUGCAUCACUCAAAGAUGAUCCCGCGUUGUAUUAGCUAGUUGGUGAGGUAAAGGCUCACCAAGGCGAUGAUACAUAGCCGACCUGAGAGGAUGAUCGGCCACAUUGGGACUGAGACACGGCCCAAACUCCUACGGGAGGCAGCAGUAGGGAAUCUUCGGCAAUGGACGAAAGUCUGACCGAGCAACGCCGCGUGAGUGAAGAAGGUUGUCGGAUCGUAAAACUCUGUUGGUAGAGAAGAACGUUGGUGAGAGUGGAAAGCUCAUCAAGUGACGGUAACUACCCAGAAAGGGACGGCUAACUACGUG
This 497-nucleotide ribosomal RNA is filed under the name uncultured bacterium. RNAcentral describes it as "partial 16S ribosomal RNA". It matches the Rfam family "Bacterial small subunit ribosomal RNA", at positions 28 to 507 of the family's 1533-position model. The record is from RNAcentral.